RNAcentral lists this ribosomal RNA (633 nucleotides) under uncultured fungus. RNAcentral describes it as "eukaryotic LSU rRNA". It matches the Rfam family "Eukaryotic large subunit ribosomal RNA", at positions 23 to 641 of the family's 3401-position model. Lineage: Eukaryota; Fungi. The record is from RNAcentral.
ACCCGCUGAACUUAAGCAUAUCAAUAAGCGGAGGAAAAGAAACUAACAAGGAUUCCCCUAGUAACUGCGAGUGAAGCGGGAAAAGCUCAAAUUUAAAAUCUGGCAUCCUCCGGGUGUCCGAGUUGUAUUCUGGAGAAGCGUCUUCCGCGUUGGACCGUGUAAAAGUCUCUUGGAACAGAGCAUCAUAGAGGGUGAGAAUCCCGUCUUUGACACGGACUACCAGGGCUUUGUGAUGCGCUCUCGACGAGUCGCGUUGUUUGGGAAUGCAGCGCUAAAUGGGUGGUAAAUUCCAUCUAAAGCUAAAUAUUGGCGAGAGACCGAUAGCGAACAAGUACCGUGAGGGAAAGAUGAAAAGCACUUUGGAAAGAGAGUUAAACAGUACGUGAAAUUGUUGAAAGGGAAACGCUUGAAGUCAGUCGCGUUGCCGGGACUCAGCCUUGCUUUUGCUUGGUGUAUUUCUUGUCAACGGGCCAGCAUCAAUUUCGGCUGUUGGAUAAAGUUGGGGGGAAUGUGGCAUCUUCGGGUGUGUUAUAGCCUCUCUUCGCAUACAACAGCUGGGAUUGAGGACCGCAGCACGCCUUUAUGGCCGGGGUUCGCCCACGUACGUGCUUAGGAUGCUGGCGUAAUGGCUUU